RNAcentral lists this ribosomal RNA (426 nucleotides) under uncultured bacterium. Its description in RNAcentral is "bacterial SSU rRNA". It matches the Rfam family "Bacterial small subunit ribosomal RNA", at positions 354 to 796 of the family's 1533-position model. The record is from RNAcentral.
GUGAGGAAUUUUCCGCAAUGGGCGAAAGCCUGACGGAGCAAUGCCGCGUGAAGGAUGAAGGCCUAUGGGUUGUAAACUUCUUUUCUCAGAAAAGAAUUAUGACGGUAUCUGAGGAAUAAGCAUCGGCUAACUCUGUGCCAGCAGCCGCGGUAAGACAGAGGAUGCAAGCGUUAAACGGAAUGAUUGGGCGUAAAGCGUCUGUAGGUUGUUUAAAAAGUAUUCUGUAAAAGAUUAGGGCUUAACCCUAGAUAGGCAGAAUAAACUUUUAAGCUAGAGUUUGGUAGAGGCAGAGGGAAUUCCCGGUGGAGCGGUGAAAUGCGUAGAUAUCGGGAGGAACACCAAAGGCGAAGGCACUCUGCUGGGCCAAUACUAACACUGAGAGACGAAAGCGAGGGGAGCAAAUGGGAUUAGAAACCCGUGUAGUCC